Molecule: long non-coding RNA, 341 nt
Organism: Marmota flaviventris (yellow-bellied marmot)
Lineage: Eukaryota; Metazoa; Chordata; Mammalia; Rodentia; Sciuridae
Source: RefSeq, a predicted model, not a curated record
GGUUCACCAUCCCCCAGGAACUCUAUGGGCUGGGAACCAUGACUAUAACACACAAGCCUUUGGGGGACAGUCAAGAUCCAAACUACUGCAAGGAGCAUCAUCUUCACUGAAAAUGUUCUAGUUUCCUGUGAUUACAGGAGACAAUUUCUCCCAACAAGAUUAUUGGCUUCAUGGGAUCAGAUAUUGGAAUCUUCCUUCUUCAUCACUGUAAGAUAUCUGAAGGAUUUAGUGCAAGACCUAGAAAAUAUUUUGACGCUAACUGCCUGACAACACUGCAGAAGAUGGAUUGGAGAGAGGGCAAGACCAAAGUCAGGGAGGCCAACUGGCAUAUUCGUACCCUG